AGCGAACGCCGGCGGCAGGCUUAACACAUGCAAGUCGAGCGGGCACUUUCGGGUGUCAGCGGCGGACGGGUGAGUAACGCGUGGGAACGUGCCCUCUGGUUCGGAAUAACUCAGGGAAACUUGAGCUAAUACCGGAUACGCCCUUUUGGGGAAAGGCUUGCUGCCGGAGGAUCGGCCCGCGUCUGAUUAGCUAGUUGGUGAGGUAACGGCUAACCAAGGCGACGAUCAGUAGCUGGUCUGAGAGGAUGAUCAGCCACACUGGGACUGAGACACGGCCCAGACUCCUACGGGAGGCAGCAGUGGGGAAUAUUGGACAAUGGGCGCAAGCCUGAUCCAGCCAUGCCGCGUGAGUGAUGAAGGCCUUAGGGUUGUAAAGCUCUUUUAUCCGGGACGAUAAUGACGGUACCGGAGGAAUAAGCCCCGGCUAACUUCGUG
This 435-nucleotide ribosomal RNA is filed under the name uncultured bacterium. RNAcentral's name for it is "partial 16S ribosomal RNA". It matches the Rfam family "Bacterial small subunit ribosomal RNA", at positions 29 to 507 of the family's 1533-position model. The record is from RNAcentral.